AUAUUGCACAAUGGGCGAAAGCCUGAUGCAGCAAUGCCGCGUGAGUGAUGACGGCCCUCGGGUCGUCAAGCUCUUUGAUCAGGGUUGAUAAUGACAGUACCAGAAAAAUAAGCCACGGCUAAGUACGGGCCAGUAGCCGCGGUAAUACGUAGGUGGCGUGCGUUGUCCGGAAUUACUGGGCGUAAAGGAUGCGUAGGUGGAUACUUAAGUGGGAUGUGAAAUCCCCGGGCUCAACCCGGGAACUGCAUUCCAAACUGGGUAUCUAGAGUGCAGGAGAGGAAAGCGGAAUUCCUAGUGUAGCGGUGAAAUGCGUAGAUAUUAGGAGGAACACCAGUGGCGAAGGCGGCUUUCUGGACUGUAACUGACACUGAGGCAUGAAAGCGUGGGUAGCAAACAGG
RNAcentral lists this ribosomal RNA (398 nucleotides) under uncultured bacterium. RNAcentral describes it as "partial 16S ribosomal RNA". It matches the Rfam family "Bacterial small subunit ribosomal RNA", at positions 361 to 776 of the family's 1533-position model. The record is from RNAcentral.